GAUGAACGCUGGCGGCGUGCUUAACACAUGCAAGUCGAACGAAGCGCUUUACUUGAUCCCUUCGGGGUGAAUGUUUUGCGACUGAGUGGCGGACGGGUGAGUAACGCGUGGGUAACCUGCCUCAUACAGGGGGAUAACAGCUGGAAACGGCUGCUAAUACCGCAUAAGCGCACAGCUUCGCAUGAAGCAGUGUGAAAAACUCCGGUGGUAUAUGAUGGACCCGCGUCUGAUUAGCUAGUUGGUGGGGUAACGGCCUACCAAGGCGAUGAUGCAUAGCCGGCCUGAGAGGGUGAACGGCCACAUUGGGACUGAGACACGGCCCAAAACUCCUACGGGGAGCAGCAGUAGGGAAUUUUCGGCAAUGGGGGGAACCCUGACCGAGCAAUGCCGCGUGAGUGAAGACGGCC
Molecule: ribosomal RNA, 407 nt
Filed under: uncultured bacterium
Lineage: Bacteria
Description: bacterial SSU rRNA
Rfam family: Bacterial small subunit ribosomal RNA
Source: RNAcentral